GUGGGGAAUAUUGCACUAUGGGCGCAAGCCUGAUGCAGCGACGCCGCGUGCGGGAUGGAGGCCUUCGGGUUGUAAACCGCUUUUGAUCGGGAGCAAGCCCUUCGGGGUGAGUGUACGUUUCGAAUAAGCACGGGCUAACUACGUGCCAGCAGCCGCGGUAAUACGUAGUGUGCAAGCGUUAUCCGGAAUUAUUGGGCGUAAAGGGCUCGU
Molecule: ribosomal RNA, 210 nt
Filed under: uncultured bacterium
Lineage: Bacteria
Description: partial 16S ribosomal RNA
Rfam family: Bacterial small subunit ribosomal RNA
Source: RNAcentral